ACCUGGUUGAUCCUGCCAGUAGUGAUAUGCUUGUUUCAAAGACUAAGCCAUGCAAGUGUAGUAUAAACUGCAUUAUACAGGUGAAACUGCGAAUGGCUCAUUAAAUCAGUUAUAGUUUAUUUGAUGAUUUUGGGUAGCAAUACCCACUACAUGGAUAUCUGUAGAAACCUAGAGCUAAUACAUGCAAAAUAACCAAACUUUUCGGAAUGGUUAGCACUUAUUAGAUACCAAACCAAUAUGGGGUCAAACCCAUUUCAAGGUGAUUCAUAAUAACUGAACAGAUCGCAUGGCCUUGUGCUGGCGACGUUUCAUUCAAAUUUCUGCCCUAUCAACUUGUUUUUAGUAUAGAGGACUAAAAAGGUUUUUACGGGUAACGGAGAAUUGGGGUUCGAUUCCGGAGAAGGAGCAUGAGAAACGGCUACUAUUUCUAAGGAAAGCAGCAGGCGCGCAAAUUAUUCAAUGAAAACAAAUUUUCGAAAUAGUGACAAAAAAUAACAAGGCGGAAAUUUUAUUUUCGUGCUUGGAAUGAGUACAAUUUAAAUCCCUUAACAAGUAACAAUUGGAGGGCAAGUCUGGUGCCAGCAGCCGCGGUAAUUCCAGCUCCAAUAGCGUAUAUUAAUAUUGUUGCAGUUAAAACGCUCGUAGUUGAAUAUUGAGUAUUGCAUUAAAUUGGUUGCACGUUUGUGUAACUAUUUAAUCAUACUCUUCCUACUGGUAACUCGAUUCUGUGCUUAAUUGCAUGGAGUAGCAUGAUUUCGGUUGUGUCGGUUGGUUAUUUCAGCUCCACAAAGAGGUUGAGAGGUGUAAAAGCCUUGAGGUUGAUUUAGUGGGUCAAGUUGAAGUAGCUAAUUGGAGUUCUAGUUCAUUUACUUUGAGAAAAUUAGAGUGUUUAAAGCAGCCUCUUUGGGCUCUGAAUACAUUAGCAUGGGAUAAUAGAAUAGGAUUUUAAUCUGAUAUUUGUUGGUUCAACAGGUUGAAAUAAUGAUGAAUAGGGACAGUUGGGGGUAUUUAUAUUGGAUGGUUAGCGGUGAAAUGCUCGGAUCCAUUCAAGAUAAACUAAAGCGAAAGCAUUUACCAAGGAUGUUUUCAUUAAUCAAGAACGAAAGUUAAGGGAUCGAAGACGAUCAGAUACCGUCGUAGUCUUAACUAUAAACUAUGCCGACCAGGGAUGUGGGUUGUUAUGAAUGUGUCAAAGCAUUCGAUUUCUUCCUAUGGAUCUUGUGAGAAAUCAUAAGUUUUUGGGUUCUGGGGGGAGUAUGGUCGCAAGGCUGAAACUUAAAGGAAUUGACGGAGGGGCACCACCAGGAGUGGAGCAUGCGGCUUAAUUUGACUCAACACGGGGAAACUUACCAGGUCCAGACAUUAGCAGGAUUGACAGAUUGAUAGCUCUUUCAUGAUUUAAUGGGUGGUGGUGCAUGGCCGUUCUUAGUUGGUGGAGUGAUUUGUCUGGUUAAUCCCGAUAACGAACGAGACCUUUACCAUACUAAAUAGUUUAGUUAAUGUUUACAUUGAUUCAAACUUCUUAGAGGGACUUUUGACAUCAAGUCCAAAGGAAGCAAAGGCGAUAACAGGUCUGUGAUGCCCUUAGAUGUUCUGGGCUGCACGCGUGCUACAAUGAUAAGCUCAUCAAGUUGAUCCAUUCAUUUGGAUAAUGCUUCACCGGAAGGUGUGGCUAAUCUUCAACGCUUAUCGUGCUUGGGAUAGAUGCUUGCAAUUAUUUAUCUUGAACCAGGAAUUCCUAGUAAUCGUAAUUCAUCAGAUUGCGAUGAUUACGUCCCUGCCCCUUGUACACAACCGCCCGUCGCUGCUACCGAUUGGAUGAUCCGGUGAAAUCCUCGGAUUGUUGAAGAUCCUUUUAUCGCAAGGUAAAAGUCUUUGACGAGAAGUUGAUUAAACCUUAUCAUCUAGAGGAAGCAAAAGUCGUAACAAGGCUUCCGUAGGUGAACCUGCGGAAG
RNAcentral lists this ribosomal RNA (1955 nucleotides) under Vannella sp. strain 4362V/II. RNAcentral's name for it is "SSU rRNA". It matches the Rfam family "Eukaryotic small subunit ribosomal RNA". The record is from RNAcentral. Lineage: Eukaryota; Discosea; Flabellinia; Vannellidae.